GAUGAACGCUGGCGGCGUGCUUAACACAUGCAAGUCGAACGGAAAGGCCCAAGCUUGCUUGGGUACUCGAGUGGCGAACGGGUGAGUAACACGUGGGUGAUCUGCCCUGCACUUCGGGAUAAGCCUGGGAAACUGGGUCUAAUACCGGAUAGGACCACUUCUUGGAUGUUGUGGUGGAGAGUUUUUUCGGUGUGGGGUGAGCUCGCGGCCUAUCAGCUUGUUGGUGGGGUAUUGGCCUACCAAGGCGUCGACGGGUAGCCGGCCUGAGAGGGGGUACGGCCACAUGGGGCCUGCGAGAGGGCCCAGUCGCGAAUGGGGGGCAGUGGGGGGAAACUUGACACAGUGGCCCCGAGCCUGUGACGACGGCCCCCGGGGGGGGAAGCCGGCUUGUGGGUUGAAAACACCUUUCGCUGGGGACAAAGCUUUUUUGAGGGGACCCAGGAAAAAAGGCCCGGCUAACCUAGGG
Molecule: ribosomal RNA, 466 nt
Filed under: uncultured bacterium
Lineage: Bacteria
Description: partial 16S ribosomal RNA
Rfam family: Bacterial small subunit ribosomal RNA
Source: RNAcentral